Molecule: long non-coding RNA, 1175 nt
Organism: Triticum dicoccoides
Lineage: Eukaryota; Viridiplantae; Streptophyta; Magnoliopsida; Poales; Poaceae
Exons: 3
Source: RefSeq, a predicted model, not a curated record
CCGGGGCUCAAAAUUGCUGGAGCCCCGAUCAGCGGGACGGUGCUUCGCGGUGCCGGAGACGACGACCACUUCCAGGUGGUCUUGGUAGGCACUGAUGGUGAGGAGGGACAAGUUACAGAAGCGAUUGCUUACGUUUACUCGUCGGAAACUGGUGCGUGGGGCGAUCCGAUCUCGACACCGCUUCCAUCCAAGCAUGCCGUGGUUUCUGUCAACAAGACUGCUGUGAUGGUUGGGGAUUUCAUUUACUGGUUGCUCAAUUCGGACGAGAUUCUUGAGUUUGAUCUUGAUAGGAAGAGGCUAUCCUUGAUACCUGUGCCUGCGGACUUGGAUUUAGGGAGCGGCAGUUUCUUCUUCUCAGUUAUAAGGGCAGAUGGCGGUGGGCUUGGUUUCAUCUUUUUGUCAGGCUUCAAUGCCCAAUUGUGGAAGAGGAAGACCGAUUCUGUUGGUGUUACUUCAUGGGUGCUGGAAAAAACUAUUGAAAUUGAUAGGUUACUUCCUCCGGAGGAUGUAGAGGCGAGACGGUCCCUAAUGAUACUAGCGUAUGCCGAAGACAAUGACACGGCUCUCAUGUGGACAGGUAUUGGUCUCCGUGGUCGUAUCUUCACGAUGCAGCUUAAGUCAUUGAAGUUUGAGGAACUCUUGCGAAACACCACCUUUGGUUACUUUCACUUAUUCGAAAGUGUUUAUGCUGCAGAAACAUGCAUUGGUGGUGGAGCUGGUCUUUUGCACAACACAUAAGAUGGUUGCCCUGUUAGAUAUGCCAUUGUGAUGUACUGGUUGAGCAGGUACCUAGAAUUACAUUCUGGUGGCUGAUCUGCCGAAGUGGAUUUGUUUUGCUCUAGGUCCUUCCAUUCUGCAUGCUGUGCAUGUGGGGUCUUGUGUGGACACUAGUCAACUGCUUGAAGACAUAUCUCGCAAAAAAAAACUGCUUGAAGACAUAGUAUUGGCGCUGUCAGUAAUCUCGUCGAUCAUUUUUUUACGCUUGCAGGAUGUUUUGUGGCAGGCAGUCAAAGUGUCGGUUGCGUCACUGUUUGCUUAUGUGCCCAUUGUGUCAUAUCGAGAUAUGAAAUUUAGAUCACUGCUUGUGUUUUGUUCCAUGACGCGUGUGUGUUACAUGCAUGUUGUUAUAUUCUUAUUAGAUGAAACUUUGUGUCGAAAAGGUACCAUUGCUGGAG